This 253-nucleotide ribosomal RNA is filed under the name uncultured bacterium. Its description in RNAcentral is "partial 16S ribosomal RNA". It matches the Rfam family "Bacterial small subunit ribosomal RNA", at positions 524 to 776 of the family's 1533-position model. The record is from RNAcentral.
UACGUAGGGGGCAAGCGUUGUCCGGAUUCAUUGGGCGUAAAGAGCGUGUAGGCGGCUUUACAGGUCCGUUGUGAAAACUCGAGGCUCAACCUCGAGACGCCGGUGGAAACCGUAAGGCUAGAGUCCGGAAGAGGAGAGUGGAAUUCCUGGUGUAGCGGUGAAAUGCGCAGAUAUCAGGAAGAACACCCGUGGCGAAGGUGGCUCUCUGGGACGGUACUGACGCUGAGACGCGAAAGCGUGGGGAGCGAACAGG